AGAAAUAGUUCUGGUACCAACAGGAGUAGUAGUACGGGUACUACUCACAGGAGUAACACC
This 60-nucleotide transfer RNA is filed under the name uncultured Micromonas. RNAcentral's name for it is "partial Selenocysteine transfer RNA". The record is from RNAcentral. Lineage: Eukaryota; Viridiplantae; Chlorophyta; Mamiellophyceae; Mamiellales.